Long non-coding RNA from Oncorhynchus nerka (sockeye salmon), 596 nucleotides. RefSeq lists it as uncharacterized. NCBI's taxonomy places the organism in Eukaryota, Metazoa, Chordata, Actinopteri, Salmoniformes, Salmonidae. The transcript is spliced from 3 exons. The record is from RefSeq and is a predicted model, not a curated record.
CAAUAACAGUGUCCUCCCCAUGAUGUGAGGCUGGAGUAAAUGUAAUCACUAUCAAAUUCAUAGGCAUAGCGGGUAUUAAUAUUGUCUUGUGUAUUUCACCUAAAUCCUUUCAUUAGUUGUAGUUAUUUUUUUCCAUAUCCAUAGUGUGAGUAUCGACUGCUCUGUCAUCUAUUGCUCUAGCCUGGCUGCAGUACAUUCAAGUCAGCAGCGGGAGUUUCCAGUACAGAUCAGAGAUGCCGUCUAACGUGGAGAUCAAGGCGAGGGUGAGCAAUGCGACACGAUUGGCGGAGAGAGCCAGCCAGCUAAGCCAAUCAGAGGGAACAGUAAUCCGCCAGCAGGACACGUUCUUCAACUGCAGCACCGGACGGCUUAAACUACGUAACCUGAUGGAUGGGAGUGGUCAGUUAAUCUUCUAUGAGAGACCAGAUUGUGACGGGCCCAAGGUGUCCAACUACUCUCUCUCUACUACACAGGACCCAGAGGGGCUCAGAGUGAGUAGCUACUACACCACUACUCUCUCUACUACACAGGACCCAGAGGGGCUCAGAGUGAGUAGCUACUCCACCACUACUCUCUCUACUACACAGGACCCAGAG